GGCUCGUUGGCUCAGUUGGUUAGAGUGUCCACACUUAGUAUCGUGGAGGUCGUAGGUUCGAAUCCUACACGAGCCC
Molecule: non-coding RNA, 76 nt
Organism: Rhamnusium bicolor
Lineage: Eukaryota; Metazoa; Arthropoda; Insecta; Coleoptera; Cerambycidae
Source: the annotation of a GenBank genome assembly